CCUACGGGUGGCAGCAGUAGGGAAUCUUCCACAAUGGACGAAAGUCUGAUGGAGCAACGCCGCGUGAGUGAAGAAGGGUUUCGGCUCGUAAAGCCCUGUUGGUAGGGAAGAAAGAUAGAGGUAGUAACUGGCCUUUAUUUGACGGUAAUUACUUAGAAAGUCACGGCUAACUACGUGCCAGCAGCCGCGGUAAUACGUAGGUGGCAAGCGUUGUCCGGAUUUAUUGGGCGUAAAGCGAGUGCAGGCGGUUCAAUAAGUCUGAAUGGAAAGCCUUCGGCUCAACCGGAGAAUUGCAUCAGAAACGGUUUAACUUGGGUGCAGAAGAGGAGGGUGGAACUCCAUGUGUAGCGGUGGAAUGCGUAGAUAUAUGGGAGAACACCAGUGGCGAAGGCGGCUCUCUGGUCUGCAACUGACGCUGAGGCUCGAAAGCAUGGGUAGCGAACAGGAUUAGAUACCCUUGUAGUC
Molecule: ribosomal RNA, 465 nt
Filed under: uncultured bacterium
Lineage: Bacteria
Description: partial 16S ribosomal RNA
Rfam family: Bacterial small subunit ribosomal RNA
Source: RNAcentral